Molecule: ribosomal RNA, 909 nt
Filed under: Salmonella enterica
Lineage: Bacteria; Pseudomonadati; Pseudomonadota; Gammaproteobacteria; Enterobacterales; Enterobacteriaceae
Description: partial 23S ribosomal RNA
Rfam family: Bacterial large subunit ribosomal RNA
Source: RNAcentral
CAGUGAAAUUGAACUCGCUGUGAAGAUGCAGUGUACCCGCGGCAAGACGGAAAGACCCCGUGAACCUUUACUAUAGCUUGACACUGAACAUUGAGCCUUGAUGUGUAGGAUAGGUGGGAGGCUUUGAAGCGUGGACGCCAGUCUGCAUGGAGCCGGCCUUGAAAUACCACCCUUUAAUGUUUGAUGUUCUAACGUGGACCCGUGAUCCGGGUUGCGGACAGUGUCUGGUGGGUAGUUUGACUGGGGCGGUCUCCUCCUAAAGAGUAACGGAGGAGCACGAAGGUUGGCUAAUCCUGGUCGGACAUCAGGAGGUUAGUGCAAUGGCAUAAGCCAGCUUGACUGCGAGCGUGACGGCGCGAGCAGGUGCGAAAGCAGGUCAUAGUGAUCCGGUGGUUCUGAAUGGAAGGGCCAUCGCUCAACGGAUAAAAGGUACUCCGGGGAUAACAGGCUGAUACCGCCCAAGAGUUCAUAUCGACGGCGGUGUUUGGCACCUCGAUGUCGGCUCAUCACAUCCUGGGGCUGAAGUAGGUCCCAAGGGUAUGGCUGUUCGCCAUUUAAAGUGGUACGCGAGCUGGGUUUAGAACGUCGUGAGACAGUUCGGUCCCUAUCUGCCGUGGGCGCUGGAGAACUGAGGGGGGCUGCUCCUAGUACGAGAGGACCGGAGUGGACGCAUCACUGGUGUUCGGGUUGUCAUGCCAAUGGCACUGCCCGGUAGCUAAAUGCGGAAGAGAUAAGUGCUGAAAGCAUCUAAGCACGAAACUUGCCCCGAGAUGAGUUCUCCCUGAGACUUAGAGUCUCCUGAAGGAACGUUGAAGACGACGACGUUGAUAGGCCGGGUGUGUAAGCGCAGCGAUGCGUUGAGCUAACCGGUACUAAUGAACCGUGAGGCUUAACCUUACAACGCCGAAG